This 754-nucleotide ribosomal RNA is filed under the name uncultured bacterium. RNAcentral's name for it is "bacterial SSU rRNA". It matches the Rfam family "Bacterial small subunit ribosomal RNA", at positions 101 to 852 of the family's 1533-position model. The record is from RNAcentral.
AACGGGUGAGUAAUGCAUCGGAACGUGCCCAACUGUGGGGGAUAGCUCGGCGAAAGCCGGAUUAAUACCGCAUACGAUCCACGGAUGAAAGCGGGGGACCUUCGGGCCUCGCGCAGUUGGAGCGGCCGAUGUUAGAUUAGGUAGUUGGUGGGGUAAAGGCUCACCAAGCCGACGAUCUAUAGCUGGUCUGAGAGGACGACCAGCCACACUGGGACUGAGACACGGUCCAGACUCCUACGGGAGGCAGCAGUGGGGAAUUUUGGACAAUGGGCGCAAGCCUGAUCCAGCAAUACCGCGUGCAGGAAGAAGGCCUUCGGGUUGUAAACUGCUUUUGUACGGAACGAAAAGGUCUGGGUUAAUACCCUGGGCUCAUGACGGUACCGUAAGAAUAAGCACCGGCUAACUACGUGCCAGCAGCCGCGGUAAUACGUAGGGUGCAAGCGUUAAUCGGAAUUACUGGGCGUAAAGCGUGCGCAGGCGGUUAUGUAAGACAGGCGUGAAAUCCCCGGGCUCAACCUGGGAAUUGCGCUUGUGACUGCAUAACUAGAGUACGGUAGAGGGGGAUGGAAUUCCGCGUGUAGCAGUGAAAUGCGUAGAUAUGCGGAGGAACACCAAUGGCGAAGGCAGUCCCCUGGACCUGUACUGACGCUCAUGCACGAAAGCGUGGGGAGCAAACAGGAUUAGAUACCCUGGUAGUCCACGCCCUAAACGAUGUCAACUGGUUGUUGGGUAUUUACUUACUCAGCAACGAAGC